RNAcentral lists this ribosomal RNA (253 nucleotides) under uncultured bacterium. RNAcentral describes it as "partial 16S ribosomal RNA". It matches the Rfam family "Bacterial small subunit ribosomal RNA", at positions 524 to 776 of the family's 1533-position model. The record is from RNAcentral.
UACGAAGGGGGCUAGCGUUGCUCGGAAUCACUGGGCGUAAAGGGUGCGUAGGCGGACAUUUAAGUCAGGGGUGAAAUCCUGAGGCUCAACCUCAGAAUUGCCUUUGAUACUGGGUGUCUCGAGACCGGUAGAGGUGAGUGGAACUGCGAGUGUAGAGGUGAAAUUCGUAGAUAUUCGCAAGAACACCAGUGGCGAAGGCGGCUCACUGGACCGGUUCUGACGCUGAGGCACGAAAGCGUGGGGAGCAGACAGG